AUAAUACUAGAAUCCUAAAAUUGUAUUAGCCCCUUCUCUCUCCUCUUCUUCCCAGCCCGAUACCACCACUCUUUCUUUUCUUCUCUCGCAUCUCAGUCGGCCAGACCAAAUGAGCCAUCUCCAGCAACCACCCAAUGACACGCACCCCACCACAAGCUUCCUUGGCCCCCAAAACCCCCAACCCGUGAAGCUUGCCUCCCCACUCGUCGGCAUCCGUCGCAACUGGCCCCCCGAAGUUCUGUCACCGAUGUGAGUUUGGAGGAUUUUUCUAGCCUCCACCGUCUUCGAAACAAGAAUUCAAGGGAAUGGUUGGGUUUGUGAGCUCAAGAUAAGCAAAACCCCUAUGGAAAUUGGACUGAAAUGUCGCUGGAGGUGCUCACCAAUGUCAAGAACGACUUUCUUCUUCUUCUUGGAUAUCUGAAUGACUUCACCUGUGCUGGCCUCUUCGCUCCUAAUAGCUUCUUCUUCAAAACCAGGGCACUUCUGAGAGAAUUGCCUCCUUUUAUGAGCUUUGAUGUGUAUAUUAUUUGGUGUAAAGUAUAUAUAGAAGCAUUGGCUUAUGCUUAGAGGGCAUAUCUAUUUGUUAUAUUCAUUGAUUUCAGAUUUAUUCCAUGGAUAUACAUACACGGUAUGCUCUCUCGUCAACCCUUAUUGGUGGUGUAAUGGGUGCACAUGCUCAAUUAUGGGAGAUAUAUUUGCUAUAUUUAAUCUUCUAUGCUCUUCUCCUUUUGUAGCAUUCCCUUUCAUAAUGUGUUUGAGUAGUUAUCUUGAUGCUCAUAAUAUUCUUUUUCUGUGUUUUGUCUGUUGCACAUAAAUUGUUUGUUAAAAUGCCUUAGUGAAAUGGACUGUAGUGUGCAAUCUUAUAUUUUCAUAUACUGAUGACUUGUAUAGCUAUAACCAGGUUAAUAGAAACAAAAUGAUACUAGUUUUACACGUACAAUUGAUUUUUUCAUUAUCAUUGUACUAAUUUUUUUUAUCUUGUAGUCAUUCUUUCAUGUAUGUGAUAUGGGAUUUGAUCUAGUUAGCACUGCACAUUUAAUAUUAAUGAAGCAUUUAUAUUGAAAAGGGAAUUUAAAUACAUGUGCUCCUAUUUUGUUUUCUUCUCAAUAUUGAAGUGUUAUUUUAGAACUUUACAUUUUUAGGCAGAGACAUCAAAACUUAGUUCUAUAUUUUUAUUUGGAAGGAAUUGAAAUUUGGUAACUGCAGAUAAAAUUGGCUUGUGGAAGAGGAAAGAAUCAUAUUAAAAAUAUCUCUACUUUAGUCAUGUAUCUUUUCAAGAUUAAGCAAACCAGAUAACAACUUUGCUCAAGUAGUUGUUUGAAUCAAAGCUGAGCUACCACUUAUUUACUUUGUUGAAUUAUGACUUGUCAAGUUUAUAUUAAUUACUAUUAUGGAGGAAAAGAAAAUAUACAUUUCAGUUGCAUUUUUGUGUUGUAUAUUUGUUGAAACUAGGCAUUGAUUGCCAUUUGUUAGCAAAUGCAUACGACAAAUUCAUGCCCAUCAAGAACAUUCUAACUUAUGAUUGCUUUGGUUCUUAAAUUUUGUUCAAUUUUCAUUUGCCUUCCAUAUUAAAGGUAUAUAGUGGUCUGUCUGGUUAUUGUGGCAUUCCUCAGCUAUCAAGGAAGCUGAAUCAGAUUUUGGAACAACAUAUUAGAAUGGCUCUCCCAAGUUUGAAGUAUGAGCUGAACUCAGAAAUGAAUGCUAUUGUUAAAGAACUUCAGACAUACGGAAAUGUUGUAGAGGCUAAUAUUUUUAUGCUAUGGUGGAUGGAAGUAGUCAGGAAAUAUCAACUAAAGAAUUGUCAGGUGGAGCCAGGAUCCAUUAUAUAUUUCAGUCAAUUUUUGUAAAGAGCUUGGAGGAAGUCGAUCCUUGUGAGGGUCUAAAUGAUGAUGAUAUUCAUAUAGCUAUUCAAAAUGCUGCUGGUGCUAGAAAUGCAUUAAUCGUUCCAGAGGUCCCAUUUAGAGUUUUGUGAACAGAGAUACUUGGAGGCUACAAAGCCAUAACAGUUCCAUCAGAGGACGAUAAAAAAAGCCAAAGAUCUCUUUAUGCACAAUUAGAAGCAGUUGCUGACAUGAAAUUCACAUAUAUUGCUACCUGUCAAAACUAUGGCAACCAGAAGCGAAGUGGAGAUCGUCGUUCAACAGACAUCCUGAACUUGAUGGUCAAUAAUCCUUCUCUUAGGGUGGCAUAUAUUGAUGAAGUUGAAGAGAAUGAAGGAGGAAAAGUACAUAAAGUUUAUUAUUCAGUUUUGGUGAAAGUUGUUGAUAAUCUUGAUCAGGUAAAUAUUGAGAACAAUAAUUGUGCUUCUAUGCCUUAUGAUAUACAACUGAUUGUUUUGGUACCGGUUUAAAGGAAAUAUAUCGGAUAAAAUUACCGGGUUCUGCCAAGAUAGGAGAAGGAAAGCCAGAAAACCAAAACCAUGUUAUAAUUUUCACGAGAGGAGAAGCUCUCCAGACGAUUGACAUGAAUCAGGACAAUUACUUGGAAGAAGCUUUAAAAAUGCGUAACCUUUUGGAAGAAUUCAAUGAGCAGCCAGGCUUCUUGAGCGGAUGAGUCAUAGCUAGAGUAACUUUUGAAAUCAUAAUUAAAAAAUAUAUUAAUUGUAGUUUUUAGUUAUCCUUACAUAGUUAUUACAAGUGUAUAUUUUGUUCUUGUAAUUUUUAAAUCUGGAACAUACUGAGUUCUAUUGAUUAUUUUGUUUGCCUA
This is a long non-coding RNA of Humulus lupulus (European hop), 2706 nucleotides long. RefSeq lists it as uncharacterized. The transcript has 8 exons. The record is from RefSeq and is a predicted model, not a curated record. Lineage: Eukaryota; Viridiplantae; Streptophyta; Magnoliopsida; Rosales; Cannabaceae.